GGCUCUGGCAGGAGAGCUCUGACACAGCCCUGCUGUCGGCACGGCCGGGGAGUGUGCGCUCGCUGACGCCUCCUGAGAUCCCAGCCCGCUCCAAAAAAAGGGGGAAACGGCCAAUUUUUAUUUCCUCAGGGAACAAUGAGAAAAUUUCUCUUUCUGAGCCUAUCUCCUUCUGAAACGAGCUCCAGGAAUGGUCACAACCUGCCAUAAAAAUGCCAUGUGCAAGAGAAUAUAUUUAAUAUCAGGCAAGCAGAAUGGAACGAUACGAUCUGUUUGGGGUUUGAAGCACCAAGGUUCUGACUCUGCUCCUUGGGAACCCUCCUGCUCCCCUGUGUAGGGUAGGGCUCAUCCACAUCACAGAGAUUUCCAAAAUCACAGAGAUUUCCAAAAAUCUCCCUCAAAGCUGAAAAUAAAUCUCAAGAAAUCACUUUGAAAACUGAAGAUGAAUCUCCAAAUACCUCUUCCAAACCUGAAGAUCAGCUCCAGCUCCAUCUCCAACCACCUGAGUGAUGGGCUGGUGUUGGAAGUGCCUGGAAAACCUCUUC
Molecule: long non-coding RNA, 542 nt
Organism: Passer domesticus (house sparrow)
Lineage: Eukaryota; Metazoa; Chordata; Aves; Passeriformes; Passeridae
Exons: 3
Source: RefSeq, a predicted model, not a curated record